UCCAGAGGCCUCGAUCGUUAGGCGGAAUCACUGGGCUUAAAGCGUGUGUAGGCGGAUGCCUAAGUGCCUUGUGAAAUCCCACGGCUUAACCGUGGAAAUGCUUGGCAUACUGGGUGUCUUGAGCAGCCUAGGGGCGAGCGGAACAGAUGGUGGAGCGGUGAAAUGCGUAGAUAUCAUCUGGAACGCCAAUGGUGAAGACAGCUCGCUGGGGGCUCGCUGACGCUGAGACACGAAAGCCAGGGGAGAGAACGGG
Molecule: ribosomal RNA, 253 nt
Filed under: uncultured bacterium
Lineage: Bacteria
Description: partial 16S ribosomal RNA
Rfam family: Bacterial small subunit ribosomal RNA
Source: RNAcentral